GUGUGUGAUCAGCAGCACCUGGGAUUUCCUGAUAUAAGGGUUUCCAGGGCAGAGUCACCUUGCUCUCGACGGUGGAAUAGCUACACGAGUGAUAGGCCUGGUUGUGUGGGUUAGACUAGGGACCACUGGAGCCUAUCAAGAGUCUGCUAUGCUUCCUUAUACCCCGACUGUGGACAGUUUGCGCUAACGGCCCCCCUCUACCCGGAUGGCCUACUUUGUUAUGUGGACUCCCCCACUGUGGUGUGACCAGGAGACUCUUCAGGUUUAAUUUGGAUGUUCUUGCAGACCUUAAACAGCCUAAUUGAUACUCUGAAUAACCCCACAUACCUUGAAUGCCUAUUUCUAAUGGAUUUGUAACCUUCCACUCUGGUGUUAUGUGUAGCCCACUAUUAUGUCCUAACCAAUCAAUACUACUCUACAGUGACCAACAAAAAUGUUCUAUUACUUUAACAAUUAUUGAUA
This is a long non-coding RNA of Pseudophryne corroboree (corroboree frog), 462 nucleotides long. RefSeq lists it as uncharacterized. NCBI's taxonomy places the organism in Eukaryota, Metazoa, Chordata, Amphibia, Anura, Myobatrachidae. The transcript has 3 exons. The record is from RefSeq and is a predicted model, not a curated record.